GAAGCAUGCCAACACACACCUAAUUCAGGCAUUUAGUAUUUCAUAAAAUGUAGAAGAUAGAAACAAUAAGAUCAAUUCAUAAACAUAGAUUUCUUAAAAAUCAUCUCCAUUGCAAGUUAUAGGAUUCCAUCAAUUACAGAAGCAGGUAAGGAGUUAGAUGGUAGACAAGAUAAACAGGUCGAGAACAUGAUCCUCAUUCUUUUCAGCAGUUAGAAACAUGUGCAAAACUGAGCUGAAAACAAUGAAUACAAAAUUAUCUUGCCAGUAAAAUGCCGUCGAAGAAGAAGAUCCCAAUCAACUGGAGAAUGUAUCCGAUGGUAGUCUCCAGGCUUCAAGUAAAUUACACAAUAGAAGAGGCCUUUCGGUGGGCUGCAUAAAUUAAUCACACCAUAAAUCCAAUUGCCAAGGUAAAUAUCGUACGUUUACUUAUACUCAAAAACAUAUUUUAACUUCUAUAAAGUUGGAUCUAAUAUUAGUAACUGUUUCAUUAGGAAUUACAGAUCAGGUUACUGCAAGAAAAAUAAAAACUAAUAAUUAAAUAACUGAGCAUUUAAUUCUUCAACUUGAACCAAAAACUGAUAAAAGUCUAAAGGCAUAUUAUUGCAUUAUAUGAUGUAAAAUGCUACUUUAAACUAAUUCAAUGUUUACCGGGAUGAUGCAUUAUCUCUAACUUUAGGAGAAGCCAAGAAGGAAAUACUCCACCAUGACUUCUGGUUCACAUCUCUCACAGUUUUCUCUUCCUCGCCACUAUCUUCAUUAGCAUCUUCUGCAGCAAUCAUAGGGAGAUGCGAGUUUGCACCAAGAAGGGAAGAAGCAGAAUAAGAACAUCCCUUCACUUGCUCAAUCAUAGCCCCUGGUCCUCUUAACUCACCGAAUCUGAGAACGGUCCCAUCUACAGGACUGGCCUAUAGCAGGAAUAAAAUUAGUACACAGUGCUCAAGCGGUCCAGAAAUAGCACAGCCACUAUGGAAGGAAGUAGAUAUCCAGAACUUGUUACCAGUUACCAGACAAUAAGGGUCACAAUCGAUAGGCCUGGAGCUUUCUUUCAACUUGCGAACAAAAAAUUCUCUUAGGCUAGCAUAUUCUUCCAAUGGUAGUUGAGCUUCUUCCAAGUCUAAUUUACAUAGAGAAAAAGAAGUUCAGCAGUUUUAUUUGCAUUUUUUCGUUAGCAAACUAAAAAUGGAUUUAACGUAAAGACUUUACGAAGAAUGUUGACGUGGAUCAGGAAACAUACUAGAGUGAAAAGCUCGAGCCCAUGCUUUAUAUACAUAUGGCCGUAACCAAAUGGGAAUUCCUGGUCAAGGAUUAAUUUAGCGCAUAACUUAAGUCAUUCAUGAUAUAUUAGCUCAAGGAAUAUUGUUAUACUCACCAUACCAGUCAAGGAACCCCAAAACCUUGAAAUAGAGCGCAAGGGUAGUAAUCUCAAGAAUCUAGCCUAUCACCAAUGAAAGUGUGGCAUAAAAAUCAUAUACUGCACCAUUUACAUGUAAUAGCACAGAAAAGAGAAGGAUUUACCUUCACAUCUGGGUGGAACUCUAAUUCAAUACCCUUAGCCCUGGCCUCUUCUAUCUAUUUCGCAAACAAUUAAAAAGAUAGACACAAGCACAGACUGGUAAGAUACAUUAUUGGCAGAAUAACAAUACNCAAUGAUGAUGAUGAUGCUGCAAACAGAAAAUUCAUUGCCUAUGGACAAGGAUUACCCGUUCAUUUUCAACAUACAAAUUUCUGAUAGUUCUCGUAGCGCGCUCAUUCAUUGGAAAGAGAUUACCUACAAGGAACAUAGCAAUGGAAUUAACAAUCUACAAAUUAUAUGGGAGGAUAUACAUGAUAAAUUAGGGCAUAUAAUAACUUAAUUGCUCGGAACUAAAAAAAAGUUUCCUGAUUGUGAUAGUGCCGAAACUAUUUCCAACUAAUUGCAGUUAUGAGAUUAUGUUUUCAUGUUCAUUGACAACAAACUCCAAAAGAAGCAUGCCAACACACACCUAAUUCAGGCAUUUAGUAUUUACAUAAAAUAGUAGAAGAUAGAAACAAUAAGAUCAAUUCAUAAACAUAGAUUUCUUAAAAAUCAUCUCCAUUGCAAGUUAUAGGAUUCCAUCAAUUACAGAAGCAGGUAAGGAGUUAGAUGGUAGACAAGAUAAACAGGUCGAGAACAUGAUCCUCAUUCUUUUCAGCAGUUAGAAACAUGUGCAAAACUGAGCUGAAAACAAUGAAUACAAAAUUAUCUUGCCAGU
Molecule: long non-coding RNA, 2231 nt
Filed under: Salvia miltiorrhiza (redroot sage)
Lineage: Eukaryota; Viridiplantae; Streptophyta; Magnoliopsida; Lamiales; Lamiaceae
Description: long non-coding RNA (SMIL_LNC005467)
Source: RNAcentral